RNAcentral lists this ribosomal RNA (497 nucleotides) under uncultured bacterium. RNAcentral's name for it is "partial 16S ribosomal RNA". It matches the Rfam family "Bacterial small subunit ribosomal RNA", at positions 28 to 507 of the family's 1533-position model. The record is from RNAcentral.
GAUGAACGCUGGCGGCGUGCCUAAUACAUGCAAGUCGAGCGAACGGACGAGAAGCUUGCUUCUCUGAUGUUAGCGGCGGACGGGUGAGUAACACGUGGAUAGCCUACCUAUAAGACUGGGAUAACUUCGGGAAACCGGAGCUAAUACCGGAUAAUAUUUUGAACCGCAUGGUUCAAAAGUGAAAGACGGUCUUGCUGUCACUUAUAGAUGGAUCCGCGCUGCAUUAGCUAGUUGGUAAGGUAACGGCUUACCAAGGCAACGAUGCAUAGCCGACCUGAGAGGGUGAUCGGCCACACUGGAACUGAGACACGGUCCAGACUCCUACGGGAGGCAGCAGUAGGGAAUCUUCCGCAAUGGGCGAAAGCCUGACGGAGCAACGCCGCGUGAGUGAUGAAGGUCUUCGGAUCGUAAAACUCUGUUAUUAGGGAAGAACAUAUGUGUAAGUAACUGUGCACAUCUUGACGGUACCUAAACAGAAAGCCACGGCUAACUACGUG